RNAcentral lists this ribosomal RNA (496 nucleotides) under uncultured bacterium. RNAcentral's name for it is "partial 16S ribosomal RNA". It matches the Rfam family "Bacterial small subunit ribosomal RNA", at positions 29 to 507 of the family's 1533-position model. The record is from RNAcentral.
AUGCACGCUGGCGGCGUGCCUCAUCCAUGCAAGUCGAGCGAACAGACGAGGAGCUUGCUCCUUUGACGUUAGCGGCGGACGGGUGAGUAACACGUGGGUAACCUACCUAUAAGACUGGGAUAACUUCGGGAAACCGGAGCUAAUACCGGAUAAUAUUUCGAACCGCAUGGUUCGAUAGUGAAAGAUGGCUUUGCUGUCACUUAUAGAUGGACCUGCGCCGUAUUAGCUAGUUGGUAAGGUAACGGCUUACCAAGGCAACGAUACGUAGCCGACCUGAGAGGGUGAUCGGCCACACUGGAACGGAGACACGGUCCAGACUCCUACGGGAGGCAGCAGUAGGGAAUCUUCCGCAAUGGGCGAAAGCCUGACGGAGCAACGCCGCGUGAGUGAUGAAGGUCUUCGGAUCGUAAAACUCUGUUAUUAGGGAAGAACAAACGUGUAAGUAACUGUGCACGUCUUGACGGUACCUAAUCAGAAAGCCACGGCUAACUACGUG